RNAcentral lists this ribosomal RNA (540 nucleotides) under uncultured archaeon. Its description in RNAcentral is "bacterial SSU rRNA". It matches the Rfam family "Bacterial small subunit ribosomal RNA", at positions 422 to 953 of the family's 1533-position model. The record is from RNAcentral.
UAAGUAAAGCUCUUUCGCAAGGGAAGAAAACUUAUGAUCGAAUAAAUCAUGAGGUUGACGGUACCUUGAUAAGAAGCACCGGCUAACUACGUGCCAGCAGCCGCGGUAAUACGUAGGGUGCGAGCGUUAAUCGGAAUUACUGGGCGUAAAGCGUGCGCAGGCGGUUUUGUAAGUCGGAUGUGAAAUCCCCGGGCUCAACCUGGGAACUGCGUUCGAAACUGCAAGGCUAGAGUGUGUCAGAGGGGGGUAGAAUUCCACGUGUAGCAGUGAAAUGCGUAGAGAUGUGGAGGAAUACCAAUGGCGAAGGCAGACCCCUGGGAUAACACUGACGCUCAUGCACGAAAGCGUGGGGAGCAAACAGGAUUAGAUACCCUGGUAGUCCACGCCCUAAACGAUGUCAACUAGUUGUUGGUAGAGUAAAAUCUAUGAGUAACGUAGCUAACGCGUGAAGUUGACCGCCUGGGGAGUACGGUCGCAAGAUUAAAACUCAAAGGAAUUGACGGGGGCCCGAACAAGCGGAGGAUUAUCUGGAUUAAUUCG